GACGAACGCUGGCGGCGUGCCUAAUACAUGCAAGUAGAACGCUGAAGGAGGAGCUUGCUUCUCUGGAUGAGUUGCGAACGGGUGAGUAACGCGUAGGUAACCUGCCUGGUAGCGGGGGAUAACGAUUGGAAACGAUAGCUAAUACCGCAUAAGAGUAGAUGUUGCAUGACAUUUGCUUAAAAGGUGCAAUUGCAUCACUACCAGAUGGACCUGAGUUGUAUUAGCUAGUUGGUGAGGUAACGGCUCACCAAGGCAACGAUACAUAGCCGACCUGAGAGGGUGGUCGGCCAAGAUGGGACUGAGACACGGCCCAGACUCCUACGGGUAGCAGCAGUAGGGAAUCUUCGGCAAUGGACGGAAGUCUGACCGAGCAACGCCGCGUGAGUGAAGAAGGUUUUCGGAUCGUAAAGCUCUGUUGUAAGAGAAGAACGAGUGUGAGAGUGGAAAGUUCACACUGUGACGGUAUCUGACCAGAAAGGGACGGCUAACUACGUG
This 495-nucleotide ribosomal RNA is filed under the name uncultured bacterium. Its description in RNAcentral is "partial 16S ribosomal RNA". It matches the Rfam family "Bacterial small subunit ribosomal RNA", at positions 28 to 507 of the family's 1533-position model. The record is from RNAcentral.